Molecule: ribosomal RNA, 457 nt
Filed under: uncultured bacterium
Lineage: Bacteria
Description: bacterial SSU rRNA
Rfam family: Bacterial small subunit ribosomal RNA
Source: RNAcentral
AACGAACGCUGGCGGCAUGCCUAACACAUGCAAGUCGAACGAGACCUUCGGGUCUAGUGGCGCACGGGUGCGUAACGCGUGGGAAUCUGCCCUGGGGUGCGGAAUAACUCGGAGAAAUCCGUGCUAAUACCGCAUAAUGUCUUCGGACCAAAGAUUUAUUGCCCUGGGAUGAGCCCGCGUAGGAUUAGCUAGUUGGUGAGGUAAAGGCUCACCAAGGCGACGAUCCUUAGCUGGUCUGAGAGGAUGAUCAGCCACACUGGGACUGAGACACGGCCCAGACUCCUACGGGAGGCAGCAGUGGGGAAUAUUGGACAAUGGGCGAAAGCCUGAUCCAGCAAUGCCGCGUGAGUGAUGAAGGCCUUAGGGUUGUAAAGCUCUUUUACCAGGGAUGAUAAUGACAGUACCUGGAGAAUAAGCUCCGGCUAACUCCGUGCCAGCAGCCGCGGUAAUGUCAGUG